CUGUCAUCUCUGCAGUUCCUAAUUCGAAGGAAGUGCAACAACUUGAAUUUAAAUUCAGAUUUCCUAUCGAAAGAGAUCCGUGAUACGAUCGGUCAUCCAUUUGUCCUUGGCUAUUCCUUCAAUAAAUUCCCGGAGUAACAGUCAACGAUGAAGCAAACUCCCAAAAACAAACGAUGGUUGACAAGUGCAUCGACGUACCUAAAAAAAUCGGUUCCAACUGUUCCAGCAUGCCCCUUGCUCCCAUUAGCUACUGGGCUUAUGAUGUCACCAAGGAUUUCAUAACAAAGAUGUGUCGGAAAAUCACAAACUACCAGUGAUGUAGGAAAAUCGAAAACGAAAACAUAAUUAUUCCGAGGUGACGUAUAGAAUAAAUUUGGCCUGGGAGACAAUGCUGAGUCUGAAGCCUUAUGUCCAUUUACCUGGCGAUAUAAUGAAUCAAGUUUUGAAUCAUAUUAUGUGAGUAUAAUAAGCAUAUAUGUAUGCAAAAAUGAAAAAUAUAUGCAUCAGAACAGUUAAACGUU
Molecule: long non-coding RNA, 521 nt
Organism: Armigeres subalbatus
Lineage: Eukaryota; Metazoa; Arthropoda; Insecta; Diptera; Culicidae
Exons: 3
Source: RefSeq, a predicted model, not a curated record